Molecule: unclassified non-coding RNA, 289 nt
Filed under: Hevea brasiliensis (rubber tree)
Lineage: Eukaryota; Viridiplantae; Streptophyta; Magnoliopsida; Malpighiales; Euphorbiaceae
Source: RNAcentral
UUCAGAAGAAAAGUACAGAUCGAUUUCAGUAAUUUCCAACACCAGUACAAUCUAUCAAUCUAGACCAUGGGAAAUUUCGGAUACCAGAUUCAAUGGGGCGAGGGGGAGGGACUUGCAGAUGGUGUGUAUAUAUUACAGAUGCUUACCAUUACAUCAACCGCUAUCCGACCGAAGUAGCAAGACCAAUAUCAAAUAUGCAUCUUCAAUGAAGGAACAAGUUCAACACACGCUUUUGCAGCAACCAGUUCACCACAUUAUAGAAGUGUGCUGCAGGUGGAAAGCUGACGAG